This 254-nucleotide ribosomal RNA is filed under the name uncultured bacterium. RNAcentral describes it as "partial 16S ribosomal RNA". It matches the Rfam family "Archaeal small subunit ribosomal RNA", at positions 474 to 727 of the family's 1478-position model. RNAcentral also lists the same sequence under 1 other name. The record is from RNAcentral.
CACCGGCGGCCCGAGUGGUGAUCGUGAUUAUUGGGUCUAAAGGGUCCGUAGCCGGUUUGGUCAGUCCUCCGGGAAAUCUGACAGCUCAACUGUUAGGCUUUCGGGGGAUACUGCCAGACUUGGAACCGGGAGAGGUAAGAGGUACUACAGGGGUAGGAGUGAAAUCUUGUAAUCCCUGUGGGACCACCUGUGGCGAAGGCGUCUUACCAGAACGGGUUCGACGGUGAGGGACGAAAGCUGGGGGCACGAACCGG